GUUGGGUGUGGUGGUGCAUGCCUGUAAUCCCAGGGUCUUGGGAAGCUGGGGCAGAAGGAUCACAAGUUCAAGGCCAGCUGGGGCAAUUUUGUGGGGUGGGGAUGGUGCACACCUGUCCUUU
This 121-nucleotide small RNA is filed under the name Marmota monax (woodchuck). Lineage: Eukaryota; Metazoa; Chordata; Mammalia; Rodentia; Sciuridae. The record is from RNAcentral.